Molecule: ribosomal RNA, 423 nt
Filed under: Pontibacter sp. I15
Lineage: Bacteria; Pseudomonadati; Bacteroidota; Cytophagia; Cytophagales; Hymenobacteraceae
Description: partial 16S ribosomal RNA
Rfam family: Bacterial small subunit ribosomal RNA
Source: RNAcentral
CGAAAUUGAGGGCUUCGGUUCUUGGUUUAGUGGCGCNCGGGUGCGUAACGCGUAUGCAACCUACCUCUCACUGGGGGAUAGNCCGGGGAAACCCGGAUUAAUACCGCAUAAGAUAGCUGGCCUGGCAUCAGGUUGUUAUUAAAGCUUUGGCGGUGGGAGAUGGGCAUGCGUGCCAUUAGCUGGUUGGUAGUGUAACGGACUACCAAGGCUUCGAUGGNUAGGGGCUCUGAGAGGACGGNCCCCCACACUGGUACUGAGACACGGACCANACUCCUACGGGAGGNAGCAGUAGGGAAUAUUGGGCAAUGGCCGCGAGGNUGACCCAGCCAUGCCGCGUGCANGAUGAAGGCCUUCUGGGUUGUAAACUGCUUUUNUCAGGGAAGAAAACGCUCCUGCGGGAGUAACUGACGGNNCCUGAUGAAU